CUAUACUGCUAUUUAAUCUACUUCCACAGACUUCUGGCAAUGGGCUGUAGCAUGACUCUCUCGUGUAACAGGAAAAAUAAGGACUACAUUUGGGGAUGAAGACAUAUUCACUUCCUCAACAGAAUUGUACAGCCCCAUACACUCUGUUGGAUCACUUCUAUUCUUCAGGGUCUUCUGGCAGUGGGCAGAGCUGGAGCAUCUUUCAAGGUGCCACAAAAGGAAUUAUGUGGAGUAUAAACACUUCAGAAAAUAUGGGUUCCUGCUGCAGAAACAAAGAAACAAACUCAGGACAGAUAAUCUUUUGUAGGUAUAUAAAACAAGGCCGGAUGAAGCUGCUGCAAAGAAGAAUUAUAUACAAAUGCAUUUAUUUCUCUGGUUGUUGGGGUAUUACCCUUGCCAAGAUAGGAUUUUUUUGUUUGAUUUUUUGUUUGUUUUGCUGCCCUGUAAAGAAGUUUCAGGUCAAGGACAGGGAGCUUAAAUGACCUGACACUGACAGAACCAGAAGCCAGGUGUCCCAUCCUUGAACCAGAAAGACAGCAGUCAUAGAAUCAUAGAAUAUCCUGAGUUGGAAGGGACCCAUUGUACUGGGUCUGGCUGGGAUGUUAACUUUCCCUGCAGCAGCCCGUACAGUGCUCUGCACUUAUAGCUAGAAGAGCAAUGGUAUCACACCAGUGUUGUCUGCUGCUGAGCAGUGCUGGCUCAGCAUCAGGACUCUCUCUAACCUUCUUAGGGGGUGGGCAAAAAAAUGAGAAAAGAAACACUCAGCAACAAAAGGUGGAAACAGGAAGAAGAGGAGAGGGGUGGGCUCUCGUGAAAACGUCAGUCCUCCUCCUAAACAGCGACUACGUGCGUUGAGGCCCGGCUUCAAUGAUGUGGUCAAGCAUCUCUCAUUUGUGGAAAGCAGAGAGUAAUUUCUUUCCUCUGCACUUCCACUUCCACAUCAUAUAGCCUUUUUUUUUUUUUUCCCUUUUCCCCCUCCUUUUUUUUUUCCUUUAGUUAAAUUGUUUGGUUAAUAAUACAAUUAUUAUACAAUUGUUAAUAAUAAACAACCUAUGAUUUGUUCUUUACUUUACUUC
This 1076-nucleotide long non-coding RNA is filed under the name Anas platyrhynchos platyrhynchos (common mallard). Its description in RNAcentral is "lncRNA (ENSAPLG00000030407.1)". Lineage: Eukaryota; Metazoa; Chordata; Aves; Anseriformes; Anatidae. The record is from RNAcentral.